UGUGUUUGAUGCCUCGCAGGUUGGUUCUUGUGCAGCCUACCAUUCUGGGUAAAGGAGGACACUUUGAUGGUUUGCCUCCAUCCUGCGCCUGGCAAUGGGUGCAGGGGAGGAUGAAGCACCCCCCGUGUUCCACUGAGCCUUGAUCGGUCACGUGGCCCUCGGGGUCGUGCAAUGCCCUUGGAUGCAGCGCAUGUGAUGGGCGAGGACUCGUCCUCGUCCUUAGAGUAGCUUCAAUGUAAUGCAAGACGGUCACACUCGUUCGCAGUCCGCUUAGGCGGCGCUGCGGCGGGGGGNGACGUCAUUGAGGAUUGCUACCUGGUUGAUCCUGCCAGUA
Molecule: unclassified non-coding RNA, 334 nt
Filed under: Zapoteca mollis
Lineage: Eukaryota; Viridiplantae; Streptophyta; Magnoliopsida; Fabales; Fabaceae
Description: partial external transcribed spacer
Source: RNAcentral